CCUUGCAGUUAGGAAAACUCUGGCCUCUGUGAAGGUACAAGCCAGGCCUUACACUGAUUGUCUCUUGUUUAAGGGAAUUCUGGCCCAUUUCUGGACCCAGAACACCAGCCUGUUCCAAGGCCCUUCUGUUGGAAAGCUUAUGCCUCCAAGGUCUGGAAUACUUGAGUUUCUCCGGAAAGAAUGAGCAGAAACAGAUCAGCAGCACCCUUUGGAAUGAAAAUCUCUCUGGGUCAGAGCAUGCGGCAUUCUACAAGAACACCUAUUAAGUUCCCUGAAAAAGAAAGCUGCACAUCUGUAAUCCUGGCACUUGGGAGGCUAAGGCAAGAGUAUCACCAUGAAUUUGAGGCCAGUCUGGGCUACACAGUGAGUUCAAGAUCAGCCUGAACUACAUAGCAAGAUCCUGUCUCAGAAAACAAAACAAACGCAAAAAAAAGGAAAAGAGAGUACAAUUAUCUUCUGUAAUUAAAAUAACUUUUUACCAUCCAGCAAUCCAUGGCUCAAGAUUACCACACAGUUGAGCUAGAACCAAAACUCAAAUUUCUGAGGUUGAGUUCCUUAUUUUAUUUGCUAUAAUUUGGUAUAUGAAACAUUUGCUUUAUAUAAUUAUGACCCUAAAGUACCUUCACUUCAAAGUGGAGAAAAACUGAAAAACUUUUCAUGAUGUUAAAAUAGCUAUUAACCUAAUGCCUCUCCAUACAUUGUUACAUGAUACCUUCUGAUUAAAAUUUUUACCUUUGUGUGUGUGUGCGUGUGUGUGUGUGUGUGUGUGUUUCUGGGGAUUGACCCCAAGGCUUGCCCAUGCUAGGCAAAUUUUCUACCAUUGUUCUAUACUUGCCCCUAGAAUUUUCCUUUUUAAUUACAUGUUUUCGUUGGUAAAAUACUAAAAAGUUAACACUGUGUAGAGUUUUGACGUUACUUCAAGUAACUCUGAAAUAGAGUAGCACAGAAUUUAGGUUCUAUUCUUCUCAUUCCAAGCACAAAUUUAACUUGCUUAAUUUUUUCCGUGAAUCUUUAAUAUAACAAUAACCUUUAAUAUAACAAUAAACUUUAUAUUGGUUUAUUGAAAGGAAAAAUUAAUGCUUAAUUGUUUGGUCAGUCUUGCAUACCUAUAUCUGGUAAUUUGAGCAACUACUUUGACAAUAACAAUAUGUAUUAUAACAACCAUUAUUCAUUUCCUAUCACCUUGCUUUGAAAUUCUGUAUCAUUUUUGUUGUUUUGUUUUUGCC
RNAcentral lists this long non-coding RNA (1226 nucleotides) under Chinchilla lanigera (long-tailed chinchilla). RNAcentral describes it as "lncRNA (ENSCLAG00000027429.1)". The record is from RNAcentral. Lineage: Eukaryota; Metazoa; Chordata; Mammalia; Rodentia; Chinchillidae.